This 252-nucleotide ribosomal RNA is filed under the name uncultured bacterium. RNAcentral's name for it is "partial 16S ribosomal RNA". It matches the Rfam family "Bacterial small subunit ribosomal RNA", at positions 524 to 775 of the family's 1533-position model. The record is from RNAcentral.
UACGAAGGGUGCAAGCGUUACUCGGAAUUACUGGGCGUAAAGCGUGCGUAGGUGGUUCGUUAAGUCGGAUGUGAAAGCCCUCGGCUCAACUGAGGAAGUGCACCCGAAACUGGCGAGCUUGAGUACGAAAGAGGAUCGCGGAAUUCCCGGUGUAGAGGUGAAAUUCGUAGAUAUCGGGAGGAACACCGGUGGCGAAGGCGGCGAUCUGGGUCGAUACUGACGCUGAGGUGCGAAAGCGUGGGGAGCAACAGG